UCUAUUCUUUAAGGAACCUAAGAUUAUUUAAUAAUAUAACAUUUCGAGUGAUUUAUAGUUGAAAUCUAAGAGAAGUUUAAAAGACAAGUUCUUGCGUACUGUGUUAGAAUAAUAUAAUAUACAAAGUAUGAAAGUACCGACUGCAGCGCCACUGCCGGGCUGAUUUGUAAUUCUAAACCAUCUCAGGCGCCAUCCAAACAUAUACUAAAAAUUCAUUCAAAUCGGUCCAGUCGUUUAAGAGGAGUUCGGUAACUUACACACGUACAAUUGAGUUAUAUAUAUAAAGAUAUUCACUAAUAUUCUUAAUGCCUACACCAGGUUCAAGAUAUGCGUGCGGCUGUCAGUAACGAUGGGUGUGAGUUGGAUAUGGGAAGUGAUUAGUUUCCUGGUACCAGCUGCUGAUGAGUUUGCCCUGUACCUUGACCUGUAUAAUGGCUGCAUUGGAUUCUUGAUCUUCCUCAUCUUCGUUUGCAAUAGACGCAAACUAGCUCACCUCAAAGCAAGAUUUCAAUCAUGGCGUCAACCGAAAUCUUUCAAUCAGAAUACGAGUAACGAUUCGCAAGCUGUGGCGAUGAAGAGAUUGGACAACUCUUUAAGCACUGUCGAGUUUUAGAAAUAAGUUUUGACUGAUUUACUUACAUUUUAAGUUUUAUUACUUUAAAUAUUAUACCAUGGCCAA
Molecule: long non-coding RNA, 679 nt
Organism: Pieris napi
Lineage: Eukaryota; Metazoa; Arthropoda; Insecta; Lepidoptera; Pieridae
Exons: 2
Source: RefSeq, a predicted model, not a curated record